This 253-nucleotide ribosomal RNA is filed under the name uncultured bacterium. Its description in RNAcentral is "partial 16S ribosomal RNA". It matches the Rfam family "Bacterial small subunit ribosomal RNA", at positions 524 to 776 of the family's 1533-position model. The record is from RNAcentral.
UACGGAGGGAGCUAGCGUUGUUCGGAAUUACUGGGCGUAAAGCGCGCGUAGGCGGCUUUGUAAGUUAGAGGUGAAAGCCCGGAGCUCAACUCCGGAACUGCCUUUAAGACUGCAUCGCUUGAAUCCGGGAGAGGUGAGUGGAAUUCCGAGUGUAGAGGUGAAAUUCGUAGAUAUUCGGAAGAACACCAGUGGCGAAGGCGACUCACUGGCCCGUUACUGACGCUGAGGCGCGAAAGCGUGGGGAGCAAACAGG